This 482-nucleotide ribosomal RNA is filed under the name uncultured bacterium. Its description in RNAcentral is "partial 16S ribosomal RNA". It matches the Rfam family "Bacterial small subunit ribosomal RNA", at positions 29 to 523 of the family's 1533-position model. The record is from RNAcentral.
AGUGAACGCUGGCGGCGUGCUUAACACACGCAAGUCGAACGGUAGCAGAUAGAAGCUUGCUUCUAUGCUGACGAGUGGCGCACGGGUGAGUAAUGUAUAGCUAACGUGCCCCUUAGAGGGGGAUAACAGUUGGAAACGGCUGCUAAUACCCCAUACUCCUUCUAUCUUAAUGAUAGUUGGGAAAUGUUUUUUCGCUAAGGGAUCGGGCUAUAUGGUAUCAGCUAGUUGGUGAGGUAAUGGCUCACCAAGGCAAUGACACCUAGCUGGUCUGAGAGGAUGAUCAGCCACACUGGAACUGAGACACGGUCCAGACUCCUACGGGAGGCAGCAGUGGGGAAUAUUGCACAAUGGGGGGAACCCUGAUGCAGCAACGCCGCGUGGAGGAUGACACAUUUCGGUGCGUAAACUCCCUUUAUAUAGGAAGAUAAUGACGGUACUAUAUGAAUAAGCACCGGCUAACUCCGUGCCAGCCGCCGCCGUAA